CCUACGGGUGGCAGCAGUGAGGAAUAUUGGUCAAUGGACGAGAGUCUGAACCAGCCAAGUAGCGUGAAGGAUGACUGCCCUCUGGGUUGUAAACUUCUUUUAUAUGGGAAUAAAACGUUCCACGUGUGGGAUUUUGUAUGUACCAUAUGAAUAAGGAUCGGCUAACUCCGUGCCAGCAGCCGCGGUAAUACGGAGGAUCCGAGCGUUAUCCGGAUUUAUUGGGUGUAAAGGGAGCGUAGGUGGAUUGUUAAGUCAGUUGUGAAAGUUUGCGGCUCAACCGGAGAAUUGCAGUUGAAACUGGCAGUCUAGAGUACAGUAGAGGUGGGCAGAAUUCGUGGUGUAGCGGUGAAAUGCUUAGAUAUCACGAAGAACUCCGAUUGCGAAGGCAGUUCACUGGACUGCAACUGACACUGAGGCUCGAAAGUGUGGGUAUCAAACAGGAUUAGAUACCCUGGUAGUC
RNAcentral lists this ribosomal RNA (460 nucleotides) under uncultured bacterium. Its description in RNAcentral is "partial 16S ribosomal RNA". It matches the Rfam family "Bacterial small subunit ribosomal RNA", at positions 338 to 795 of the family's 1533-position model. The record is from RNAcentral.